AGCUCCAAUAGCGUAUAUUAAUGUUGUUGCAGUUAAAACGCUCGUAGUCGGAUUUCGGGGCGGGGCCGCCGGUCUGCCGAUGGGUAUGCACUGGCGGGCGCGUCCUUUCUUCCGGAAGCUGGCCCUACUCUUAACUGAGCGGGGUCGGAGGUCGGAACUUUUACUUUGAAAAAUCAGAGUGUUUCAAGCAGGCAGCUCGCUCUUGCAUGGAUUAGCAUGGGAUAAUGAAAUAGGACUUUGGUGCUAUUUUGUUGGUUUCGAACACCGAAGUAAUGAUUAACAGGGACAGUCAGGGGCACUCGUAUUCCGCCGAGAGAGGUGAAAUUCUCAGACCAGCGGAAGACGAACUACUGCGAAAGCAUUUGCCAGGGAUGUUUUCA
RNAcentral lists this ribosomal RNA (380 nucleotides) under uncultured eukaryote. Its description in RNAcentral is "SSU rRNA". It matches the Rfam family "Eukaryotic small subunit ribosomal RNA", at positions 587 to 972 of the family's 1831-position model. The record is from RNAcentral.